Molecule: ribosomal RNA, 455 nt
Filed under: Staphylococcus aureus
Lineage: Bacteria; Bacillati; Bacillota; Bacilli; Caryophanales; Staphylococcaceae
Description: partial 23S ribosomal RNA
Rfam family: Bacterial large subunit ribosomal RNA
Source: RNAcentral
ACUGUUUGGACGAGGGGCCCCUCUCGGGUUACCGAAUUCAGACAAACUCCGAAUGCCAAUUAAUUUAACUUGGGAGUCAGAACAUGGGUGAUAAGGUCCGUGUUCGAAAGGGAAACAGCCCAGACCACCAGCUAAGGUCCCAAAAUAUAUGUUAAGUGGAAAAGGAUGUGGCGUUGCCCAGACAACUAGGAUGUUGGCUUAGAAGCAGCCAUCAUUUAAAGAGUGCGUAAUAGCUCACUAGUCGAGUGACACUGCGCCGAAAAUGUACCGGGGCUAAACAUAUUACCGAAGCUGUGGAUUGUCCUUUGGACAAUGGUAGGAGAGCGUUCUAAGGGCGUUGAAGCAUGAUCGUAAGGACAUGUGGAGCGCUUAGAAGUGAGAAUGCCGGUGUGAGUAGCGAAAGACGGGUGAGAAUCCCGUCCACCGAUUGACUAAGGUUUCCAGAGGAAGGCUCG